AUUGAACGCUGGCGGCAUGCCUUACACAUGCAAGUCGAACGGUAACAGGUCUUCGGAUGCUGACGAGUGGCGAACGGGUGCGUAAUACAUCGGAACGUGCCCGAUCGUGGGGGAUAACGAGGCGAAAGCUUUGCUAAUACCGCAUACGAUCUACGGAUGAAAGCGGGGGAUCUUCGGACCUCGCGCGGACGGUGCGGCCGAUGGCAGAUUAGGUAGUUGGUGGGAUAAAAGCUUACCAAGCCGACGAUCUGUAGCUGGUCUGAGAGGAUGAUCAGCCACACUGGGACUGAGACACGGCCCAGACUCCUACGGGAGGCAGCAGUGGGGAAUUUUGGACAAUGGGCGAAAGCCUGAUCCAGCCAUGCCGCGUGCAGGAUGAAGGCCUUCGGGUUGUAAACUGCUUUUGUACGGAACGAAAAGCCUCUUUCUAAUAAAGAGGGGUCAUGACGGUACCGUAAGAAUAAGCACCGGCUAACUACGUG
RNAcentral lists this ribosomal RNA (482 nucleotides) under uncultured bacterium. RNAcentral describes it as "partial 16S ribosomal RNA". It matches the Rfam family "Bacterial small subunit ribosomal RNA", at positions 30 to 507 of the family's 1533-position model. The record is from RNAcentral.